UACAGAGGUCUCAAGCGUUGUUCGGAUUCAUUGGGCGUAAAGGGUGCGUAGGUGGCGGGGUAAGUCAGGUGCGAAAUCUCGAGGCUCAACCUCGAAACUGCACUUGAUACUGCCUUGCUCGAGUACUGGAGAGGAGAUUGGAAUUUACGGUGUAGCAGUGAAAUGCGUAGAUAUCGUAAGGAAGACCAGUGGCGAAGGCGAAUCUCUGGACAGUUACUGACACUGAGGCACGAAGGCCAGGGGAGCAAACAGG
Molecule: ribosomal RNA, 253 nt
Filed under: uncultured bacterium
Lineage: Bacteria
Description: partial 16S ribosomal RNA
Rfam family: Bacterial small subunit ribosomal RNA
Source: RNAcentral